UUUGGUCACCUGCCGAAGGUGCCAAGAGGGAAACCGGUGAGAGUCCGGUGCAGUCCCGCUGCUGUAAGCUCAGGUAUUGAAGCUCAAUAUGAUGUGUCACUGUAUAACGCUAUAGUUAUAUGGGAAGACAGAGCCGAGAGAGCAAGCCAGAAGACCUGCCAAAUCACU
RNAcentral lists this non-coding RNA (168 nucleotides) under bovine gut metagenome. The record is from RNAcentral.